GUGCAAUAUUAUCUAUAAAACUCUAUCAGCACAGCAUCAAAUAAACAUUGAUUGUCCGAACAAUGGAAGAAAAAUAAAGUGUUCAGGAAAACAAACACCUGCUACAUAAAAAUGCAGAAAUAUAAAUCUGACAAUAACAUCAUUCGCUUCAUGACUGGAACUAGGGGAUGGCUGUGCAUGAAUAUGUCCUUUACUAAAACUCCUGAUGAGAACUGAUGCUUUUUUAUGAUAAAAGCACCAGAAGUAAAGUUUACUGUAUGAAGCUUGAAAAAGAGAACACAAUGCUUUAUCAAUACGAAAAUACUAUUUUCAACUAUUGUUUUCAUCACUGGUUCUGUAUACAGUAUAUGGGCUGCUGGAAGGUCAAAAUGUAUUCAUUAUAAGCUUAUAAUUAAAACAAAGUUGCAUUUUCUGCAAAAAUCAAACCACUGCAAAGUCUAAACACUGAUCCAGGGACCAUUUCUGUGUGUGUGGGGGAUAAAGAGUUAAAGAGGUGAGUCCUUGUGCAUGAUGGAGUACAGCGUUAUCUGCAAACAAUCCUGUAAGACAGAAAGGAAGGAAAUAUUAUUACAUUACAUGCAACUUUUUCUUUUAGACCAUAAAAGCAGCCUCUGUAAAGAUGCUGUAUAAUUAAAUGUUAAAUGCAUCUAUUAUUAAAAGCAAGUCAGUAAUAGCAAGCUAUAUUCAUACGAAGAAUUUUAAAUAUAAAUAUUUAAGAUAUAAACUGAUAUGAAUGAACUGCAAGAUGGGAAAAAAUAUGUGUCCUUUAUUUAUUUACUUUUUUUUAUUUACAUAAAAAGGUAUUAAAACAUGGUGCAGUAAAUGUGAUUACUGUGAUAUCUGUCAUAUAAAAGCACAUCAAAAACACUACCAUUACAGUUGUACAACCAUAGUUAGUUUGGUGAUUAUUGUGCUAUUACUAUACCAUAGUAAAACUACAGUUACUGUGGUAAAAACAUGGUAAAUGUCCCGUUCCUGGGUUUUAACUUCAAAUUUCAUUUGUUACUAUUGUACGUGUCGUGGUUACCAUGAUUUUACUACAAAUACAACUUACAUCUUUGAACCUGAUAUGAAUAUAAAACGGAUCGAAGGUCUAUGGCACGUCACGUGACAGAUAGAGUUUAAU
Cyprinus carpio carpio is the source of this 1126-nucleotide long non-coding RNA. Lineage: Eukaryota; Metazoa; Chordata; Actinopteri; Cypriniformes; Cyprinidae. The record is from Ensembl.